This 164-nucleotide ribosomal RNA is filed under the name Calamus conirostris. Its description in RNAcentral is "5.8S ribosomal RNA". It matches the Rfam family "5.8S ribosomal RNA". From Rfam's summary of the family: 5.8S ribosomal RNA (5.8S rRNA) is a component of the large subunit of the eukaryotic ribosome. It is transcribed by RNA polymerase I as part of the 45S precursor that also contains 18S and 28S rRNA. The record is from RNAcentral. Lineage: Eukaryota; Viridiplantae; Streptophyta; Magnoliopsida; Arecales; Arecaceae.
GGUACGACUCUAGGCAACGGAUAUCUCGGCUCUCGCAUCAACAAAGAACGUAGCGAAAUGCGAUACGUGGUGCGAAUUGCAGAAUCCCGCGAACCAUCGAGUCUUCGAACGCAAGUUGCGCCCGAGGCCAUCCGGCCGAGGGCACGCCUGCCUGGGUGCCAACC